This 492-nucleotide ribosomal RNA is filed under the name uncultured bacterium. RNAcentral describes it as "partial 16S ribosomal RNA". It matches the Rfam family "Bacterial small subunit ribosomal RNA", at positions 28 to 507 of the family's 1533-position model. The record is from RNAcentral.
GAUGAACGCUAGCUACAGGCUUAACACAUGCAAGUCGAGGGGCAGCGGUAUCGAAAGCUUGCUUUCGGUAGCCGGCGACCGGCGCACGGGUGAGUAACGCGUAUCGAACCUGCCCCAUACUCGGGAAUAGCCUUGCGAAAGUAAGAUUAAUGCCCGGUGUUUUCAGAGUCCCGCAUGAGGCUUUGAACAAAGAUUUAUCGGUAUGAGAUGGCGAUGCGUCCCAUUAGCUUGUUGGCGGGGUAACGGCCCACCAAGGCAUCGAUGGGUAGGGGUUCUGAGAGGAAGGUCCCCCACAUUGGAACUGAGACACGGUCCAAACUCCUACGGGAGGCAGCAGUGAGGAAUAUUGGUCAAUGGGCGGAAGCCUGAACCAGCCAAGUAGCGUGCAGGAAGACGGCCCUCCGGGUUGUAAACUGCUUUUAGUUGGGAAUAAAACGGGGCUCGUGAGCCCCCUUGCAUGUACCAUCAGAAAAAGGACCGGCUAAUUCCGUG